Molecule: ribosomal RNA, 403 nt
Filed under: Verrucomicrobiota bacterium
Lineage: Bacteria; Pseudomonadati; Verrucomicrobiota
Description: Verrucomicrobia bacterium partial 16S ribosomal RNA
Rfam family: Bacterial small subunit ribosomal RNA
Source: RNAcentral
UGGGGAAUCUUGCACAAUGGGGGCAACCCUGAUGCAGCGACGCCGCGUGAGCGAUGAAGGUUUUCGAAUCGUAAAGCUCUGUCCUAUGGGAAGAUAAUGACGGUACCAUAGGAGGAAGCCCCGGCUAACUACGUGCCAGCAUCCGCGGUAAUACGUAGGGGGCGAGCGUUGUCCGGAAUUACUGGGCGUUAAGGGUUCGCAGGCGGCCUGGCAAGUCCGAUGUAAAAGGCGAAGGCUCAACCUUCGUAAGCAUCGGAAACUGUCAAGCUUGGGUGAAGGAGAGGCAAGUGGAAAUCCUAGUGUAGCGGUGGAAUGCGUAGAUAUUCGGAGGAACACCAGUGGGGAAGGCGGCUCACUGGAACAUUACUGACGCUGAGGUGCGAAAGCGUGGGGAGCAAACAGG